RNAcentral lists this transfer RNA (70 nucleotides) under Loxodonta africana (African savanna elephant). It matches the Rfam family "tRNA". Rfam says of the family: Transfer RNA (tRNA) molecules are approximately 80 nucleotides in length. The record is from Rfam by way of RNAcentral. Lineage: Eukaryota; Metazoa; Chordata; Mammalia; Proboscidea; Elephantidae.
GCAUUGGUGGUUCAGUGGUAGAGUUCCCGCCUUCCAUGCGGGAGACCCAGGUUCGACUCCUGCCAGCGCA